This 148-nucleotide non-coding RNA is filed under the name Homo sapiens (human). The record is from Rfam by way of RNAcentral. Lineage: Eukaryota; Metazoa; Chordata; Mammalia; Primates; Hominidae.
GCCGGGCGUGGUGGCGCAUGCCUGUAAUCCUAGCUACUCGGGAGGCUGAGGCAGGAGAAUCGCUUGAACCUAGGAGGUGGAGGUUGCAGUGAGCUGACAUUGCACCACUGCACUCCAGCCUGGGCAACAGAGUGAAACUCUGUCUCAA